UCAUCAUCGCCAUCAUCCUGACUAAGUCUUUCGGGAGGUUUACGUGUAACCGAGAGACAAGGAAAACUCUCGGUGGUUAAGUCCAAAUACAAAAUAUUUAGACCCUCGAGAGACCAGAAUCUCUCGGGGGUUUUUUAAU
This 139-nucleotide small RNA is filed under the name Vibrio tapetis subsp. tapetis. RNAcentral describes it as "His_leader". It matches the Rfam family "Histidine operon leader". Rfam says of the family: At least 6 amino acid operons are known to be regulated by attenuation. The record is from RNAcentral. Lineage: Bacteria; Pseudomonadati; Pseudomonadota; Gammaproteobacteria; Vibrionales; Vibrionaceae.